UUGAAUCAAGAUCUGAUCACUCU
This 23-nucleotide small nuclear RNA is filed under the name Arabidopsis thaliana (thale cress). Its description in RNAcentral is "snRNA_08401". The record is from RNAcentral. Lineage: Eukaryota; Viridiplantae; Streptophyta; Magnoliopsida; Brassicales; Brassicaceae.